AUUGAACGCUGGCGGCAGGCCUAACACAUGCAAGUCGAGCGGAUGAAGGGAGCUUGCUCCUGGAUUCAGCGGCGGACGGGUGAGUAAUGCCUAGGAAUCUGCCUGGUCGUGGGGGAUAACGUCCGGAAACGGGCGCUAAUACCGCAUACGUCCUGAGGGAGAAAGUGGGGGAUCUUCGGACCUCACGCUAUCAGAUGAGCCUAGGUCGGAUUAGCUAGUUGGUGGGGUAAAGGCCUACCAAGGCGACGAUCCGUAACUGGUCUGAGAGGAUGAUCAGUCACCCUGGAACUGAGACACGGUCCAGACUCCUACGGGAGGCAGCAGUGGGGAAUAUUGGACAAUGGGCGAAAGCCUGAUCCAGCCAUGCCGCGUGUGUGAAGAAGGUCUUCGGAUUGUAAAGCACUUUAAGUUGGGAGGAAGGGCAGUAAGUUAAUACCUUGCUGUUUUGACGUUACCAACAGAAUAAGCACCGGCUAACUUCGUG
This 484-nucleotide ribosomal RNA is filed under the name uncultured bacterium. Its description in RNAcentral is "partial 16S ribosomal RNA". It matches the Rfam family "Bacterial small subunit ribosomal RNA", at positions 30 to 507 of the family's 1533-position model. The record is from RNAcentral.